Molecule: ribosomal RNA, 534 nt
Filed under: Hemidactylium scutatum (four-toed salamander)
Lineage: Eukaryota; Metazoa; Chordata; Amphibia; Caudata; Plethodontidae
Description: partial 16S ribosomal RNA
Rfam family: Bacterial large subunit ribosomal RNA
Source: RNAcentral
CGCCUACUGAUAUUUUAACAUAGUAGGUACUGCCUGCCCAGUGACACCUGUUUAACGGCCGCGGUAUUAUGACCGUGCAAAGGUAGCGUAAUCACUUGUCUAUUAAAUCUAGACCAGUAUGAAUGGCAAAACGAAAGCUCAUCUGUCUCCCUAGGCCAGUUAGUGAAAUUGAUCUUCCCGUGCAGAAGCGGGAAUAUAAAUAUAAGACGAGAAGACCCUAUGGAGCUUUAAACCUACAUUAACUACUACAAUAAAAAUUUAAAUGUAGAUGUAAUUUAAGAUUUUAGGUUGGGGCGACCACGGAGGAUAAAUAAACCCCCGAGAAAUAAAGCCUAGAGAGACAUCUCUAGGCAAUAAUAAUAUUAAUAUAUUGACCCAGUAGCUGAUCAACGAACCAAGUUACCCUAGGGAUAACAGCGCAAUCCCUUCAAAAAGUCCUUAUUGACGAAGGGGCUUACGACCUCGAUGUUGGAUCAGGACCCCCAAAUGGUGCAGCAGCUAUUAAAGGUUCGUUUGUUCAACGAUUAAAGUCCU